Molecule: non-coding RNA, 681 nt
Filed under: Gongylonema pulchrum
Lineage: Eukaryota; Metazoa; Nematoda; Chromadorea; Rhabditida; Gongylonematidae
Source: RNAcentral
GGUUUUUAAUAUUAAGUUUGAUUUUGGCUUUGGAUAUAUUAAGAUAGUAUUACUUAUUAUUAGUUUAUUUAAGUGUGUAUUUUUUGGACAUUGGUAGUUUUUUUAUUGUUUAAUAAUUGUUCCAGAAUAAUCGGCUAUGCAUUAUAAUUUUUUACUCUUUUUUGGUUUUUUUUUAAUUUUUUGUGUUUUUUUAUUUAUUGUUAUUUUUGUGAAAUGUUUUAAUUUGUUUUUUUUUUUGUUAAAAAAGGAAAUUUUUUUUUGUGAACUGGAUUAGUACCCAGGUAAUAAAUAUUUAUUAAUUCGGGAGUAGAGUUGUAUUUAAACCGAAAAAAUAUUGACUGAUUUUAAAUUUUUCUUUGGAACAUGUGAAUUUUGGAAAAUCCUCUUUUUUUGUUCUUAUUUUUUGCUCAUGUAUGAUUGUUGUUUUUUUAUAUUUUAUGUGAUUUUUUUUGUUUUUUAAAACAGAUAUAUAUUUGGUUUAUGUAUGAAUUUUCAUGUGUUACUAUUAUUAGUUUUUUUCGGAUUAAUUUUUUAUUUUUUUAUGAAGUUGGAAAAGAAAGUAAUUUUUUUUUAAUAUAAUUAUGAAUUUUAAUUAUUAAAAUGGUACAAACCAUCCGUCAAUGGUCUAAAAGGGCGUAAGUUGUAGUAUGGUAAGGGUAAGGAAACUUGUUCUUAUUUUUU